Molecule: non-coding RNA, 773 nt
Organism: Paramuricea clavata
Lineage: Eukaryota; Metazoa; Cnidaria; Anthozoa; Malacalcyonacea; Plexauridae
Source: the annotation of a GenBank genome assembly
UUUACAGGAAUCCAAAAGAAAAGGAGGUAAUGAAACUUACUGUUAAUUCAUCUAACAUAAUGAUCGACUGAAUCUGGCUUCGCUCAAUUUGAUGUUGACAAAAAGUUGUGAAUUGGGUAUAAACACGCGUUAGUCUUCUUCUUUGGAAUGCCCAAUUUUACUAAAGUCGUAGCAGCGAUUCCAUGAGAUCUUUCAUGCGUAAAGCUACGAUAUCUGCCUGGCAGUUAAUAAAAAAUCUUUAAUUUCCAAAUGGUAAAGUUUAACUUGACUAUACCCAUGGCAAUGAACGAACAGAUUUAUAUAGCUUGAAAAUCUCUUUGUGGUGGUAAAUAAGGAUUCACUAGUAACUGGUAUUUAGUUUAGUUUCUGAGUUUUAUUCUUUACACUUCCACGCUGAAGAAUUCUCAGUCAGGAUUCUCUAGAAUUCCCUACUGGGGGAGUUGCAGCGCGAACCAUCGCCAAAAAUAUUAUCUCCGAGCCAACGGCGCGGUUCCGCCCGGGGAUAGGAAAGCAUUAGCGAAAUCAAAUUUAUCAAUAUAAUAGUGGGCGUGGGUUACUGUGCGUGGGUGGUCAUCCUCACUAAUCUCAAAAUAUAGCGGAUAAAUAGCGAACACUCUCAAAAUAUAGCUGUCAUAAAUAGCGAACACUGAUUGGUCCAAUUUAAAAUUUGCAUUGUAACGACUGCACGACGACAGCAAAAUAGUUAGCAAACUUUUUUUUUAUGAUUUCUUGCAAAUAUAUUUCAUUUUUGCAAGAUUUUUUUUCAGAAAAAC